Molecule: ribosomal RNA, 454 nt
Filed under: Escherichia coli
Lineage: Bacteria; Pseudomonadati; Pseudomonadota; Gammaproteobacteria; Enterobacterales; Enterobacteriaceae
Description: bacterial LSU rRNA
Rfam family: Bacterial large subunit ribosomal RNA
Source: RNAcentral
CCCAGAGCCUGAAUCAGUGUGUGUGUUAGUGGAAGCGUCUGGAAAGGCGCGCGAUACAGGGUGACAGCCCCGUACACAAAAAUGCACAUACUGUGAGCUCGAUGAGUAGGGCGGGACACGUGGUAUCCUGUCUGAAUAUGGGGGGACCAUCCUCCAAGGCUAAAUACUCCUGACUGACCGAUAGUGAACCAGUACCGUGAGGGAAAGGCGAAAAGAACCCCGGCGAGGGGAGUGAAAAAGAACCUGAAACCGUGUACGUACAAGCAGUGGGAGCACGCUUAGGCGUGUGACUGCGUACCUUUUGUAUAAUGGGUCAGCGACUUAUAUUCUGUAGCAAGGUUAACCGAAUAGGGGAGCCGAAGGGAAACCGAGUCUUAACUGGGCGUUAAGUUGCAGGGUAUAGACCCGAAACCCGGUGAUCUAGCCAUGGGCAGGUUGAAGGUUGGGUAACACU